This 1691-nucleotide ribosomal RNA is filed under the name Campylobacter jejuni. RNAcentral describes it as "partial 23S ribosomal RNA". It matches the Rfam family "Bacterial large subunit ribosomal RNA", at positions 1223 to 2905 of the family's 2925-position model. The record is from RNAcentral. Lineage: Bacteria; Pseudomonadati; Campylobacterota; Epsilonproteobacteria; Campylobacterales; Campylobacteraceae.
AAGUGGUAGGAGAGCGUUCUAUUUGCGUCGAAGGUAUACCGGUAAGGAGUGCUGGAGCGAAUAGAAGUGAGCAUGCAGGCAUGAGUAGCGAUAAUUAAUGUGAGAAUCAUUAACGCCGUAAACCCAAGGUUUCCUACGCGAUGCUCGUCAUCGUAGGGUUAGUCGGGUCCUAAGUCGAGUCCGAAAGGGGUAGACGAUGGCAAAUUGGUUAAUAUUCCAAUACCAACAUUAGUGUGCGAUGGAAGGACGCUUAGGGCUAAGGGGGCUAGCGGAUGGAAGUGCUAGUCUAAGGUUGUAGGAGGUUAUACAGGCAAAUCCGUAUAACAAUACUCCGAGAACUGAAAGGCUUUUUGAAGUCUUCGGAUGGAUAGAAGAACCCCUGAUGCCGUCGAGCCAAGAAAAGUUUCUAAGUUUAGCUAAUGUUGCCCGUACCGUAAACCGACACAGGUGGGUGGGAUGAGUAUUCUAAGGCGCGUGGAAGAACUCUCUUUAAGGAACUCUGCAAAAUAGCACCGUAUCUUCGGUAUAAGGUGUGGUUAGCUUCGUACUAGGAUUUACUCCGAAAGCGAAGAAACUUACAACAAAGAGUCCCUCCCGACUGUUUACCAAAAACACAGCACUCUGCUAACUCGUAAGAGGAUGUAUAGGGUGUGACGCCUGCCCGGUGCUCGAAGGUUAAUUGAUGGGGUUAGCAUUAGCGAAGCUCUUGAUCGAAGCCCGAGUAAACGGCGGCCGUAACUAUAACGGUCCUAAGGUAGCGAAAUUCCUUGUCGGUUAAAUACCGACCUGCAUGAAUGGCGUAACGAGAUGGGAGCUGUCUCAAAGAGGGAUCCAGUGAAAUUGUAGUGGAGGUGAAAAUUCCUCCUACCCGCGGCAAGACGGAAAGACCCCGUGGACCUUUACUACAGCUUGACACUGCUACUUGGAUAAGAAUGUGCAGGAUAGGUGGGAGGCUUUGAGUAUAUGACGCCAGUUGUAUAUGAGCCAUUGUUGAGAUACCACUCUUUCUUAUUUGGGUAGCUAACCAGCUUGAGUUAUCCUCAAGUGGGACAAUGUCUGGUGGGUAGUUUGACUGGGGCGGUCGCCUCCCAAAUAAUAACGGAGGCUUACAAAGGUUGGCUCAGAACGGUUGGAAAUCGUUCGUAGAGUAUAAAGGUAUAAGCCAGCUUAACUGCAAGACAUACAAGUCAAGCAGAGACGAAAGUCGGUCUUAGUGAUCCGGUGGUUCUGUGUGGAAGGGCCAUCGCUCAAAGGAUAAAAGGUACCCCGGGGAUAACAGGCUGAUCUCCCCCAAGAGCUCACAUCGACGGGGAGGUUUGGCACCUCGAUGUCGGCUCAUCGCAUCCUGGGGCUGGAGCAGGUCCCAAGGGUAUGGCUGUUCGCCAUUUAAAGCGGUACGCGAGCUGGGUUCAGAACGUCGUGAGACAGUUCGGUCCCUAUCUGCCGUGGGCGUAAGAAGAUUGAAGAGAUUUGACCCUAGUACGAGAGGACCGGGUUGAACAAACCACUGGUGUAGCUGUUGUUCUGCCAAGAGCAUCGCAGCGUAGCUAAGUUUGGAAAGGAUAAACGCUGAAAGCAUCUAAGCGUGAAGCCAACUCUAAGAUGAAUCUUCUCUAAGCUCUCUAGAAGACUACUAGUUUGAUAGGCUGGGUGUGUAAUGGAUGAAAGUCCUUUAGCUGACCAGUACUAAU